GCCGGGUGCAGUGGCGCGCGCCUGUAAUCCAAGCUGCUGGGAGGCUGAGGCUGGCGGAUCGCUUGAGUUCAGGGGUUCUGGGCUGCAGUGGACUAUGUCGAUCGGGUGUCCGUGCUAAGUUCGGUAUCGAUAUGGUGCUCCUGGGGGAGCUCGGGACCAUCAGGUCGUCUAAGGAGGGGUGAACCGGCCCAGGUCGGAGACGGAGCAGGUCAAAGCCCCCGUGCCGAUCAGUAGUGGGGUCGCACCUGUGAAUAGACACUGCAGUGCAGCCUGAGCGAUACAGCGAGACUCAGCCUUUU
Cyprinus carpio carpio is the source of this 299-nucleotide unclassified non-coding RNA. It matches the Rfam family "Metazoan signal recognition particle RNA". Rfam says of the family: The signal recognition particle (SRP) is a universally conserved ribonucleoprotein. It is involved in the co-translational targeting of proteins to membranes. The eukaryotic SRP consists of a 300-nucleotide 7S RNA and six proteins: SRPs 72, 68, 54, 19, 14, and 9. The record is from Ensembl. Lineage: Eukaryota; Metazoa; Chordata; Actinopteri; Cypriniformes; Cyprinidae.